This 3039-nucleotide long non-coding RNA is filed under the name Citrus maxima (pomelo). Its description in RNAcentral is "long non-coding RNA (CMAX_LNC001184)". Lineage: Eukaryota; Viridiplantae; Streptophyta; Magnoliopsida; Sapindales; Rutaceae. The record is from RNAcentral.
CUUAACAAAAAUUUCAGCUGAGACUUAAACCGACUUUUUCAAGGAAAUGAAAUUAGGAGAACAAAAACACUUUGAAGUGGACUGCAUAUAUAUACUCAAAAAUAACAUACAACUUGAGUCAGUAAUGGUAAAGAAAACGAACGUACACAGACGGGUUUGGAUUUAGAUGAUGAAGAAUGCACUGAAAGCUUUGCAUUUGAGUUCUCUUUUUCGGGUGAGUAAGUUAGGGAACUGCAAGGCCGAUCAAUUUGAAAAAAGAAAAAAGAAAAAAACUAAAAUGUAAACGCAGCUUGAACUUGAUUUCUUUUGGUUUUUGGGGAGGGGACGGGGGGAGGGGAGGGAAUGUAUACGCAGCUUCAAACUUGGUUUCUUUUCGUUUUUUUCCCCGGGGGUGUGGAGGCCUGGAGGGAAUGUAAACGAACUAACGAAGCCUCAAUCCUCAUGCAGCUGUAUUUAUAUGAAGUGGGUACUGCUGACUGAUCCACGAAGGAAGACUUUUGAUGUCAUUGGUGUUUCUUUAUUUUUGACCUUUUAGCUAGAUGACAGAAGAAUGCCGAGUGCUACGGACACUCGCGAGUGUCUCAAUCGCGGCUCUCUAUAUAGACACGUGUCUAUCAAAAUGAAACCUUAUCAGAGAGACAGCCGCAAGUAUGACGAGACAAGCGCGAUCGUAAGGAUGGAAGCCGCAAGUAUGAAGAGACAGGCCCAAUCCACAACGAUCCAAGAGCAAUCAUUACCUGCAAACUCAACACAACACCUAAUUAACUUCAAACCCCACCAUAAAUCCACCAACAGUCACUAUUCGAAACAAAUCUACCUCAAAUGCGACGUCAAAUAAAAGGAAUAAAAAGGUUUCCUUAAAAGAGAGAGAGCUGCGAGUAUGAAGAGACAAGCACGGUCCACAACGAUCGAAGGCUGUGUGGUAUGUGUCUUGUAUAGAUUGAACAGAGCAAUCAUUACCUGCAAAACUGAACCAAACACUCAAUUAACAAACAAAUUUCAAUUUGAAACCCGACCUUAAAUCCACCAUUGGGCACUAUUCGACACAAAUCUACUUGAAAUCCGACAACAAAUAAAAGGAAAAAAAAUUCUAAAUCAACAUCGAAAUGAAACCUUUAUAAGAGAGAAAGCCGCAAGUACGAAGAGAUCUGAAGUCCUGUUGGUAUAUGUCUUGUAUAGAUUGACAGAGCAAUCAAAGGCCGUGUCGACCAGAGCAAUCGCAGAAUAGAAGAGAUAAGAGAGGAAAAAAGAAGGAAGAGGAGAGCUGCAGCAGCAAAUGAUCAGAGCAAUCAUUACCUGCAAAACUCAACACAACACCAAAUUAACAACCAACAUUUCAAUUUCAAACUUAACCUUAAAUUGAAACAAAUCUACUUGAAAAUAAAAGAAUAAGCAACUCCGAAUCAAAAUCGAAAUGAAACCUUUUAUAACAGAGACAGCCGCGAGUAUGAAGAGACAGGCACAAUCUGCAGCGAUCGAAGAGAAAUCACCACUACCUGCAAAACUCAACACAACGCCUGAUUAACAACAAACAUGCCAAUUUCAAACCCACCUUAAAUCCACCAACAGACACUAUAACUUGAAAUGCAAUAUCAAAUAAAAGGAACAAGUAGUCUAAAUCAAAAUCAAAACGAAACCUUAUAAAAGAGACAGCCGCAAGUCUGAAGAGACCAGCACGAUCCUAAAGGAUCAAAGCCGCAAGUAUGAACAGACCUGAUUAACAACAAACACCUGAUUACCUGCAAAACUCAACACAACACCUGAUUAUCAACAAACAUUUCAAUUUCAAACCCAAAACAAAUCUACUUGAAAAAAAAAAAAAAACAACUCCAAAUCAAAAUCGAAAUGAAACCUUAUUAGAAAGACAGCCGCAAGUAUGACGAGACAAGCACGAUCGUAAAGGAUGGGAGCCGCAAGUAUGAAGAGACAGGCCCAAUCCACAACGAUCCAAGAGCAAUCAUUACCUGCAAACUCAACACAACACCUAAUUAACUUCAAACCCCACCAUAAAUCCACCAACAGUCACUAUUUGAAACAAAUCUACCUCAAAUGCGACAUCAAAUAAAAGGAAUAAAAAGGUUUCCUUAAAAAAGAGUCCACAACGAUCGAAGGCUGUGUUGUAUGUGUCUUGUAUAGAUUGAACAGAGCAAUCAUUACCUGCAAAACUGAACCAAACACUCAAUUAACAAACAAAUUUCAAUUUGAAACCCGACCUUAAAUCCACCAUCGGGAACUAUUCGACACAAAUCUACUUGAAAUCCGACAACAAAUAAAAGGAAAAACAAGUCUAAAUCAACAUCGAAAUGAAACCUUUGUAAGAGAGAAAGCCGCAAGUAUGAAGAGAUCUGAAGUCCUGUUGGUAUAUGUCUUGUAUAGAUUGACAGAGCAAUCAAAGGCCGUGUCGACCAGAGCAAUCGAAGAGUAGAAGAGAUAAGAGAGGAAAAAAGAAGAAGAGGAGAGCUUCAGCAGCAAAUGAUCAGAGCAAUCAUUACCUGCAAAACUCAACACAACACCAAAUUAACAACCAACAUUUCAAUUUCAAACCCAACCUUAAAUUGAAACAAAUCUACUUGAAAAAUAAAGGAAAAAGCAACUCCAAAUCAAAAUCGAAAUGAAACCUUUUAAAACAGAGACAGCCGCGAGUAUGAAGAGACAGGCACAAUCCGCAGCGAUCGAAGAGAAAUCAUCACUACCUGCAAAACUCAACACAACGCCUGAUUAACAACAAACAUGCCAAUUUCAAACCCAACCUUAAAUCCACCAACAGACAGACACUAUAACUUGAAAUGCAAUAUCAAAUAAAAGGAAAAACAAGUCUAAGUCAACAUCGAAAUGAAACCUUUAUAAGAUAGAAAGCCGCAAGUACGAAGAGAGAAGCGCGAUCCUAAAAGAUCUGAAGUCGUGUUGUAUAUAUGUCUUGUAUAGAUUGACAGAGCAAUCAAAGCCCGUGUCGACCAGAGCGAUCGAAGAGGAGAAGAGAGAAGAGAGAAAAAGAGAAGAGGAGGAGAACUGCAGCAGCAAAUGAGCAAAGGGAGCUCA